Molecule: ribosomal RNA, 253 nt
Filed under: uncultured bacterium
Lineage: Bacteria
Description: partial 16S ribosomal RNA
Rfam family: Bacterial small subunit ribosomal RNA
Source: RNAcentral
UACGAAGGGGGCUAGCGUUGCUCGGAAUCACUGGGCGUAAAGCGCACGUAGGCGGAUUGUUAAGUCAGGGGUGAAAUCCUGGAGCUCAACUCCAGAACUGCCUUUGAAACUGUACGGCUUGAGGCCGGGAGGGGGUAGCGGAAUUCCCAAUGUAGCGGUGAAAUGCGUAGAUAUUGGGAGGAACACCAGUGGCGAAGGCGGCUACCUGGACCGGUUCUGACGCUGAGGCGCGAAAGCGUGGGUAGCAAACAGG